ACUUCAUAUGAUGAUGCUAAAGGGACUUAAUACUGAUCAUGUGUGAUGUCACCUUUUUAUAUAUAUCUGACAGAGUUUACCUGCAG
RNAcentral lists this small nucleolar RNA (86 nucleotides) under Kryptolebias marmoratus (mangrove rivulus). Its description in RNAcentral is "Small nucleolar RNA SNORD82 (ENSKMAG00000008146.1)". Lineage: Eukaryota; Metazoa; Chordata; Actinopteri; Cyprinodontiformes; Rivulidae. The record is from RNAcentral.